RNAcentral lists this transfer-messenger RNA (363 nucleotides) under uncultured Amylolactobacillus sp. It matches the Rfam family "transfer-messenger RNA". Rfam says of the family: Bacterial tmRNA, also known as 10Sa RNA or SsrA, is named for its dual tRNA and mRNA-like properties. Its role is to liberate the mRNA from a stalled ribosome. To accomplish this part of the tmRNA is used as a reading frame that ends in a translation stop signal. The record is from RNAcentral. Lineage: Bacteria; Bacillati; Bacillota; Bacilli; Lactobacillales; Lactobacillaceae.
GGGGGUGUCUUGGAAUUCGACAGACGUAGAUCUGCGUUAACUGCAUUCCGUAGGUUACGGCUACGUUAAAACGUUACAGUUAUCAUAACUGCAAAAAAUGAAAAUUCUUACGCUUUAGCAGCUUAAUAACCUGUUAGCGUGAUCCGCGUAGGUUCGCCCGGCGCUUAUUGUGGGUCUCAAAAAUUACGGGAUACGAUUAGUCUUUCCACCUGCAAGGCUGAUAAGAGAUCAUCAGGUUAGCAUUAGUUGGGUAGCCCCGAUAUACGGCGGACAGCUAGUGUGAAAUAAUAAAUAGUAUAAAUAUGAAUGUAGACGUUAAUGAUAGGAUGCGUUUGGACAGGGGUUCGAACCCCCUCACCUCCA